This 67-nucleotide transfer RNA is filed under the name Parastacus brasiliensis. RNAcentral's name for it is "tRNA-Glu". The record is from RNAcentral. Lineage: Eukaryota; Metazoa; Arthropoda; Malacostraca; Decapoda; Parastacidae.
UUUUUUAUAGUGUAACUAUAACAUAUUACAUUUUCACUGUAAAGCUGAAGUAAGCCUUCUAAAAAAU